CACAUGCAAGUCGAACGGUGAAGAGAGAGCUUGCUUUCUUGGAUCAGUGGCGAACGGGUGAGUAACACGUGAGUAACCUGCCCCAGACUCUGGGAUAAGCACUGGAAACGGUGUCUAAUACCGGAUACGAGCUUCAGCCGCAUGGCUAGGAGUUGGAAAGAAUUUCGGUCUGGGAUGGACUCGCGGCCUAUCAGCUAGUUGGUGAGGUAAUGGCUCACCAAGGCGACGACGGGUAGCCGGCCUGAGAGGGUGACCGGCCACACUGGGACUGAGACACGGCCCAGACUCCUACGGGAGGCAGCAGUGGGGAAUAUUGCACAAUGGGCGCAAGCCUGAUGCAGCAACGCCGCGUGAGGGACGACGGCCUUCGGGUUGUAAACCUCUUUUAGUAGGGAAGAAGCGAAAGUGACGGUACCUGCAGAAAAAGCACCGGCUAACUACGUGCCAGCAGCCGCGGUAAUACGUAGGGUGCAAGCGUUAUCCGGAAUUAUUGGGCGUAAAGAGCUCGUAGGCGGUUUGUCGCGUCUGCUGUGAAAACUGGAGGCUCAACCUCCAGCCUGCAGUGGGUACGGGCAGACUAGAGUGCGGUAGGGGAGAUUGGAAUCCUGGUGUAGCGGUGGAAUGCCAGAUAUCAGGAGGAACACCGAUGGCGAAGGCAGAUCUCUGGGCCGUAACUGACGCUUAAGAGCGAAAGCAUGGGGACGAACAGGAUUAGAUACCUGGUAGUCAUGCCGUAAAC
RNAcentral lists this ribosomal RNA (739 nucleotides) under actinobacterium Muzt-C32. Its description in RNAcentral is "bacterial SSU rRNA". It matches the Rfam family "Bacterial small subunit ribosomal RNA", at positions 52 to 807 of the family's 1533-position model. Lineage: Bacteria; Bacillati; Actinomycetota; Actinomycetes. The record is from RNAcentral.